UUUGGUGAAGCAUGCAAAUGCAAGCAAGUAAUAAUAAGACAGUAUUUUGCCUCUUGCACAAGUUCAACAGUGCUUAUUGAGUUAUUUGCCUUCCAAACAUCAGAUAAAUCAAGAGAGGCACAUAACAUAACCCUCUACUGUAUCAUUGAACUAUUGGCAAGUCAUAUCUGAGUAUGCCAUGGUAUCAAUGAGGUUAGCUGCUACGCAGAGGGGCACGGGGAGGGAUCUGCAAUAGUACAACCAAACUCAGAUGCCUGUCUACCUUAAGUUUAUAGCCUCCCCUUUGAACAAAUGUUGGUAGAAUAGACUGAUGAAAAUUUUGGACAUAGUCCUAGGGAGACGUAUAUCAGAAACGAGUAGAGAUUUGUGCAAAUAGAGCCUUAAAAUCCUUAGUUGGAGUGCCAGUUCCCUCAGGUUUUGAAGCCAGAUCAAAUGCCUUGAAUUUUGCUUCCUCAUACUGUAGUGCCUGAAUGCAG
This 476-nucleotide unclassified non-coding RNA is filed under the name Hevea brasiliensis (rubber tree). The record is from RNAcentral. Lineage: Eukaryota; Viridiplantae; Streptophyta; Magnoliopsida; Malpighiales; Euphorbiaceae.